CUGCACUGUUUUCUUCUCUGAAAAUGCUCAAAGAGAGUCCAACCCAAGUCUCCUUCAAAUCCUGCACACCACAUAACUUGCAGAACAACCUGCUGGCACAGUCAGAAAUAAAUUUCAAAAGUGGUAUUACUGUAAGAGCCUUCUAAAAGAUAUUCCUCACUUCAGAGAACUUUCUACAGUAUGGUAUUUGCAGUACUAGUAGCAGUAGAAGCUGUCAGUAUUAAAAACGUAUAUUAAGAACAGUUGGCUGGAGGAGGUAGGGAUAAGGGAAAGAAAACAAUGGACGAAUUUAGUUCUGAACCGAGGAAAGUUCUUCAAACAUGAAGUCCUUCAUUAGUGAAGGCAAGUUAAAGUUUUAAGUCACCUCUAUGCUUCAAGUUUUUCUUUCUUCUGUGACACUGCUCCAUCUCCAAAUAAACUUUAAAUUUAUGUAUUUUUCCUAAAUCACAUUAAGUUACAUAAAAACUAAUGCCCCUAUACUCUUGAAAGUUCACAUACUAAUCAAUACUCUUUGAACCCAAACCUAAAUAGGAUAGCUGAGUCUCCUACCUCAAAAAAUCAUCCUGCUUUAUUAGUUUAUACAAGUGUCACCAUCCAUCCCCUCUAUCAGGUUCAGGAAACCUUCACAAAUUACAUGCAAAUAUGUCUACUCAUGCCUAUCUUUAGUGGAUUUGUAACCAGACCACAAAUUAAUGCUAUAUGAUUGCGGUUGAGAACCACCUUUUUUUUCCCUUCCCCAUUUUGUGUCAUGAUGCCCAAAUGCAAUUGAAAGCUGGAACUAGCUAGCCCCAUGUAGUUCUCAGACCAAUUAAUAUAAUUCUAGAACCCUGAAAAUAUAGUAGGGAAGUGCACACGUCU
This is a long non-coding RNA of Myotis davidii, 858 nucleotides long. RefSeq lists it as uncharacterized. The transcript has 3 exons. The record is from RefSeq and is a predicted model, not a curated record. NCBI's taxonomy places the organism in Eukaryota, Metazoa, Chordata, Mammalia, Chiroptera, Vespertilionidae.